AGGCAUCUGCUGACAUGGGGGCCGAAGUCAGGCGCCAGGCAGCAGACACUCUGCAUCUUAUCUCUAGAAUAUAGAUCCUCCUUGACAGCCUUGGGUGUCAG
RNAcentral lists this microRNA precursor (101 nucleotides) under Mus musculus (house mouse). Its description in RNAcentral is "mir-680 microRNA precursor family". It matches the Rfam family "mir-680 microRNA precursor family". Lineage: Eukaryota; Metazoa; Chordata; Mammalia; Rodentia; Muridae. The record is from Rfam by way of RNAcentral.